This 232-nucleotide long non-coding RNA is filed under the name Physcomitrium patens. Its description in RNAcentral is "long non-coding RNA (PPAT_LNC005686)". Lineage: Eukaryota; Viridiplantae; Streptophyta; Bryopsida; Funariales; Funariaceae. The record is from RNAcentral.
CAAUGAAAGCUUGCAUCAAAUUUGUUCAUACUAGAACAUUUGGGCUGGAAGCAAAACUCUCCGUUUCACGCAAUUAUCCUUCUGGACACAACGAUCUGAAUUCGACAAGUAUACUUUGGGUUCAACACCUAUUAGUACAUCCAAGGACUAGGCUUAAUCAACCAGACACUGAGUUCGCACCAAACCGCAACCUAGUCGUAGGUGACUUACACAUGCGAAUUGAUGAGACCCA